GACGAACGCUGGCGGCGUGCUUAACACAUGCAAGUCGAACGGAAAGGCCCUGCUUUUGUGGGGUGCUCGAGUGGCGAACGGGUGAGUAACACGUGAGUAACCUGCCCUUGACUUUGGGAUAACUUCAGGAAACUGGGGCUAAUACCGGAUAGGAGCUCCUGCUGCAUGGUGGGGGUUGGAAAGUUUCGGCGGUUGGGGAUGGACUCGCGGCUUAUCAGCUUGUUGGUGGGGUAGUGGCUUACCAAGGCUUUGACGGGUAGCCGGCCUGAGAGGGUGACCGGCGACAUUGGGACUAAGAUACGGCCCGGACUCCUACGGGAGGCAGCAGUGAGGAAUAUUGCACAAUGGGCGGAAGCCUGAUGCAGCAACGCCGCGUGCGGGAUGACGGCCUUCGGGUUGUAAACCGCUUUCGCCUGUGACGAAGCGUGAGUGACGGUAAUGGGUAAAGAAGCACCGGCUAACUACGUG
Molecule: ribosomal RNA, 468 nt
Filed under: uncultured bacterium
Lineage: Bacteria
Description: partial 16S ribosomal RNA
Rfam family: Bacterial small subunit ribosomal RNA
Source: RNAcentral